Molecule: ribosomal RNA, 792 nt
Filed under: uncultured Pelagibacteraceae bacterium
Lineage: Bacteria; Pseudomonadati; Pseudomonadota; Alphaproteobacteria; Candidatus Pelagibacterales; Candidatus Pelagibacteraceae
Description: bacterial SSU rRNA
Rfam family: Bacterial small subunit ribosomal RNA
Source: RNAcentral
ACGCCUAAUACAUGCAAGUCGAACGCAGUAGCAAUACUGAGUGGCAGACGGGUGAGUAUAAUGUGGGAAUCUGCCUUUUGGUUUGGAAUAACUCGGGGAAACUUGAGCUAAUACCGGAUAAGCCCUUACGGGGAAAGAUUUAUCGCCGAAAGAUGAGCCCGCACUUGAUUAGCUAGUUGGUAAGGUAAAAGCUUACCAAGGCAAUGAUCAAUAGCUGUUCUUAGAGGAAGACCAGCCACAUUGGGACUGAGACACGGCCCAGACUCCUACGGGAGGCAGCAGUAGGGAAUCUUGCACAAUGGAGGAAACUCUGAUGCAGCGAUGCCGCGUGAGUGAAGAAGGCCUUUGGGUUGUAAAACUCUUUCGUUGGGGAAGAAAAUGACUGUACCCAAAUAAGAAGGUCCGGCUAACUUCGUGCCAGCAGCCGCGGUAAUACGAAGGGACCUAGCGUAGUUCGGAAUUACUGGGCUUAAAGAGCUCGUAGGUGGUUGAAAAAGUUGAUGGUGAAAUCCCAAGGCUUAACCUUGGAACUGCCAUCAAAACUUUUUAGCUAGAGUAUGAUAGAGGAAAGUGGAAUUUCUAGUGUAGAGGUGAAAUUCGUAGAUAUUAGAAAGAACACCAAAAGCGAAGGCAACUUUCUGGAUCAUUACUGACACUGAGGAGCGAAAGCAUGGGUAGCGAAGAGGAUUAGAUACCCUCGUAGUCCAUGCUGUAAACGAUGUGUGCUAGACGUUGGAAAUUUAAUUUUCAGUGUCGCAGAGAAAUCGUUAAGCACACCGCCUGGGGAGUACG